GGAUGCCUACGGGAGGCAGCAGUGAGGAAUAUUGGUCAAUGGACGCAAGUCUGAACCAGCCAUGCCGCGUGCAGGAAGACGGCUCUAUGAGUUGUAAACUGCUUUUGUACGAGGGUAAACGCAGAUACGUGUAUCUGUCUGAAAGUAUCGUACGAAUAAGGAUCGGCUAACUCCGUGCCAGCAGCCGCGGUAAUACGGAGGAUUCAAGCGUUAUCCGGAUUUAUUGGGUUUAAAGGGUGCGUAGGCGGUCGGAUAAGUUAGAGGUGAAAUCCCGAGGCUCAACUUGCGAAUUUCCUUUG
RNAcentral lists this ribosomal RNA (299 nucleotides) under uncultured bacterium. RNAcentral describes it as "partial 16S ribosomal RNA". It matches the Rfam family "Bacterial small subunit ribosomal RNA", at positions 333 to 629 of the family's 1533-position model. The record is from RNAcentral.